Molecule: ribosomal RNA, 929 nt
Filed under: uncultured organism
Description: bacterial SSU rRNA
Rfam family: Bacterial small subunit ribosomal RNA
Source: RNAcentral
CGACGUGCCUAAGAAAUGCAAGUCGAGCGAGGCCAUGGAACUUGCUCCGGAAGCCUAGCGGCGAACGGUCGCGUAACACGUAAGCAACCUGCCCCAAAGUUUGGGAUAGGCGCUCCGAAAGGGGGAUUAAUACCGGAUGUGGAUGUCGAUAUGCAUGUAUUGACAUCUAAAGCAUUUAUGCGCUUUGGGAUGGGCUUGCGGCCUAUCAGCUAGUUGGUGAGGUAACGGCUCACCAAGGCGACGACGGGUAGCUGGUCUGAGAGGAUGGUCAGCCGGACUGGGACUGAGACACGGCCCAGACUCCUACGGGGGGCAGCAAUUAGGAAUCUUGCGCAAUGGGCGAAAGCCUGACGCAGCGACGUCGCGUGAAUGAUGAAGUCUUUCGGGAUGUAAAGUUCUUUUCUGAGGGAAGAAGGAUGUGACGGUACCUCAGGAAUGAGCCCCGGCUAACUACGUGCCAGCAGCCGCGGUAAUACGUAGGGGGCGAGCGUUGUCCGAAUUUACUGGGCGUAAAGCGCGCGUAGGCGGACUCUUAAGUUGGUGGUGAAAUGCCGAGGCUCAACCUCGGAACUGCCUUCAAAACUGGGAGUCUAGAGGCUUGGAGAGGGAAGUGGAAUUCCUGGUGUAGCGGUGAAAUGCGUAGAUAUCAGGAGGAACACCGAUGGCGAAGGCAGCUUCCUGGCCAUGUCCUGACGCUGAGGUGCGAAAGCUAGGGUAGCGAACGGGAUUAGAUACCCCGGUAGUCCUAGCCGUAAACGAUGGAUACUAGGUGUUAGAGGUAUCGACCCCUCUAGUGCCGAAGCAAACGCAUUAAGUAUCCCGCCUGGGGAGUACGGCCGCAAGGUUGAAACUCAAAGGAAUUGACGGGGGCCCGCACAAGCGGUGGAGCAUGUGGUUUAAUACGUCACUAACCGUAGAACCUCACCCAG